UUUGUAUUCAUUGUGCGAAGCAGAAUGAAUACAGAGUUAUAAGUACAAUCUCAAAAAAAGGUAGGCAGAGUGGAUUUGCUGAACAGCAUCCAUCCGCUUAUACGUCCGUGACAUAAAGUAGUUCAUGAUUUGCACUUAAAUCGCUUUAAGCAUACGCUAAGCGAUGACUUAUCCGUCCCAAUGUUGCAAAAAAUUAUGUUAAAGUUUUUUCUACCCGAAAAUCAUGCACUUUAUUCAUGUUUGACAUCUAAAAACAUCGAUAAAAAUUUCCUGUAUUUCUACGCUACAAAUUAUUAUUAACGCAUGCGCAGACUCACAAUAAUUUAUCCAAGAGAACAACACGUAAGAGAAAUUGCUCAGGAAAGAAUCAACAACCAUCGCACAUAUUGUUGACUGUAACCUUUUUGUCGUGGGUAUUGUAGCGGAUAUUCCUUGUGACGGAAAUAAAAGAUUAUUUACUUUAAUAUUCACUUGGAAAGGCUGGUACAUGUAGCUAGAAAAAGUACAGUAUAAGAUUAAAGAAAGACUAGAAGAUUAUUACAAACAACAGGUACUUAUAUAAUAUUUAAUGUAUAUUUCA
Molecule: long non-coding RNA, 580 nt
Organism: Ruditapes philippinarum (Manila clam)
Lineage: Eukaryota; Metazoa; Mollusca; Bivalvia; Venerida; Veneridae
Exons: 3
Source: RefSeq, a predicted model, not a curated record